This 497-nucleotide ribosomal RNA is filed under the name uncultured bacterium. RNAcentral's name for it is "partial 16S ribosomal RNA". It matches the Rfam family "Bacterial small subunit ribosomal RNA", at positions 28 to 507 of the family's 1533-position model. The record is from RNAcentral.
GAUGAACGCUGGCGGCGUGCCUAAUACAUGCAAGUCGAGCGAACAGACGAGGAGCUUGCUCCUCUGACGUUAGCGGCGGACGGGUGAGUAACACGUGGAUAACCUACCUAUAAGACUGGGAUAACUUCGGGAAACCGGAGCUAAUACCGGAUAAUAUAUUGAACCGCAUGGUUCAAUAGUGAAAGACGGUUUUGCUGUCACUUAUAGAUGGAUCCGCGCCGCAUUAGCUAGUUGGUAAGGUAACGGCUUACCAAGGCGACGAUGCGUAGCCGACCUGAGAGGUUGAUCGGCCACACUGGAACUGAGACACGGUCCAGACUCCUACGGGAGGCAGCAGUAUGGAAUCUUCCGCAAUGGGCGAAAGCCUGACGGAGCAACGCCGCGUGAGUGAUGAAGGUCUUCGGAUCGUAAAACUCUGUUAUUAGGGAAGAACAAAUGUGUAAGUAACUAUGCACGUCUUGACGGUACCUAAUCAGAAAGCCACGGCUAACUACGUG